RNAcentral lists this ribosomal RNA (495 nucleotides) under uncultured bacterium. RNAcentral describes it as "partial 16S ribosomal RNA". It matches the Rfam family "Bacterial small subunit ribosomal RNA", at positions 28 to 507 of the family's 1533-position model. The record is from RNAcentral.
GACGAACGCUGGCGGCGUGCCUAACACAUGCAAGUCGAACGCUGAAGGCGGAGAUUGUUCUUCUGGAUGAGUUGCGAACGGGUGAGUAACGCGUAGGUAACCUGCCUGGCAGUGGGGGAUAACUAUUGGAAACGAUAGCUAAUACCGCAUAACAGUAGAUGUUGCAUGACAUUUGCUUAAAAGGUGCAACUGCACCACUACCAGAUGGACCUGCGUUGUAUUAGCUAGUUGGUGGGGGAACGGCCCACCAAGGCGACGGUACAUAGUCGACCUGAGAGGGGGGACAGCCACACUGGGACUGGGACACGGCCCAGACCCCUUCGGGGAGCAACAAGAGGGGAACUUUGGCCAUGGGCGGAAAGCGUGCCCCACAACGCCGGGUGAUGGGAGGAGGUCUUCGGGUCGUUAAACUCUGUUUUAAGGGAAGAACGAGUGUGAGGGUGAAAAGUUCACACUGUGACGGUAUCUUAACAAAAAGGACCGGCUAACUACGUG